GCCCAGUCACACCAUGGGAGUUGGUUUUACCUGAAGACGGUGCGCUAACCCGCAAGGGAGGCAGCCGGCCACGGUAGGGUCAGCGACUGGGGUGAAGUCGUAACAAGGUAGCCGUAGGGGAACCUGCGGCUGGAUCACCUCCUUUCUAAGGAUGAUCCUUCAGCGAGCUCACGCUCACUAUCGGAUCGUUUUAGAAACAUCAGUGGCCAACAGAUCGCCAGAUCGUUGAGCUGCAUUGGCGGGAUUUCGCCGUCUUCGUUUCUCUUUCUUCGCGGACGAACACGCGCUGGGCCUGCAUCAAGCAGGAUCCCACGGUCCCUGACGGGAUAUGCGUUAGGGGCUUGUAGCUCAGUUGGUUAGAGCGCGCGCUUGAUAAGCGUGAGGUCGGAAGUUCAAGUCUUCCCAGGCCCACCACUUUCAUCGAGUGAGCAUUCGUCUUCUGGUUACGGGGCCAUAGCUCAGCUGGGAGAGCGCGUGCUUUGCAAGCAUGAGGUCGUCGGUUCGAUCCCGUCUGGCUCCACCACGCUUCGCCUUUCAGGCUUCGCGUGGCGCAGCCAAGCACGGUCGAAGCGUGCCCGGCGUAGCUCACUUGAGCGUAGACGGGCUGGUUGAGAUCAGCCCGUAACCAUCACCGUCCGCGAAACAUCACUUCGCAUCCUGCUAGUCUGGAUAGACAGCAAGAUGCGUGUUUUCUGACAUCGUAUAGAGGAGAUCGAUCCGAGUUGGGUCGUGCAGCAGAUUGUUGCGCGAAUCCUUCAUUAUCUCCGGAUCAUUUUCGGCGCUCGCUUUCAGCCGUGAGGUUGAAUGCGAGUUGUAAAAUGAUCCUUUUAGCGAAGCUUGACCGCCUCGCUAUCGGAACGAUCUUACGAAGCAAGCUGGUCUUUCUAGUCAAUGUCCGGCUGCACGUAGCAUUCAUCGAGGGUGCGCGCCGUAAGGCAAUCGUGCAGACAACAUUCUGGCCGAGUGUGUGGGACAUUGAUAAUGAAGAGCAAUCAAGUGCCUUAAGGGGUGUUCGGUGGGAUGCCUUGGCCCCUGAAAAGCCAAUGAAAGGACGUGCUUACCCUGCGAAUAAGCC
RNAcentral lists this unclassified non-coding RNA (1075 nucleotides) under Bradyrhizobium sp. Its description in RNAcentral is "partial may contain 16S ribosomal RNA, 16S-23S ribosomal RNA intergenic spacer, and 23S ribosomal RNA". The stretch from base 1 to 145 matches the Rfam family "Bacterial small subunit ribosomal RNA", at positions 1392 to 1533 of the family's 1533-position model. Lineage: Bacteria; Pseudomonadati; Pseudomonadota; Alphaproteobacteria; Hyphomicrobiales; Nitrobacteraceae. The record is from RNAcentral.